AUUGAACGCUGGCGGAAUGCUUUACACAUGCAAGUCGAACGGCAGCACGGGGGCAACCCUGGUGGCGAGUGGCGAACGGGUGAGUAAUAUAUCGGAACGUGCCCAGUCGUGGGGGAUAACGUAGCGAAAGUUACGCUAAUACCGCAUACGAUCUACGGAUGAAAGCGGGGGAUCGCAAGACCUCGCGCGAUUGGAGCGGCCGAUAUCAGAUUAGGUAGUUGGUGGGGUAAAGGCUCACCAAGCCAACGAUCUGUAGCUGGUCUGAGAGGACGACCAGCCACACUGGGACUGAGACACGGCCCAGACUCCUACGGGAGGCAACAGUGGGGAAUUUUGGACAAUGGGCGCAAGCCUGAUCCAGCCAUUCCGCGUGCAGGACGAAGGCCUUCGGGUUGUAAACUGCUUUUGUACGGAACGAAAAAGCCUUGGCUAAUACCCAGGGUCCAUGACGGUACCGUAAGAAUAAGCACCGGCUAACUACGUGCCAGCCGCCGCAGUAA
This 500-nucleotide ribosomal RNA is filed under the name uncultured bacterium. Its description in RNAcentral is "partial 16S ribosomal RNA". It matches the Rfam family "Bacterial small subunit ribosomal RNA", at positions 30 to 523 of the family's 1533-position model. The record is from RNAcentral.